Molecule: ribosomal RNA, 512 nt
Filed under: Arthrobacter koreensis
Lineage: Bacteria; Bacillati; Actinomycetota; Actinomycetes; Micrococcales; Micrococcaceae
Description: bacterial SSU rRNA
Rfam family: Bacterial small subunit ribosomal RNA
Source: RNAcentral
GGCGAGCGGGUGAGUAAACGUGAGUAACCUGCCCUUAACUUCGGGAUAAGCCUGGGAAACCGGGUCUAAUACCGGAUACAACCUCCUGGCGCAUGCCAUGGUGGUGGAAAGCUUUAGCGGUUUUGGAUGGACUCGCGGCCUAUCAGCUUGUUGGUUGGGGUAAUGGCCCACCAAGGCGACGACGGGUAGCCGGCCUGAGAGGGUGACCGGCCACACUGGGACUGGACACGGCCCAUACUCCUACGGGAGGCAGCAAUGGGGAAUAUUGCACAAUGGGCGAAAGCCUGAUGCCCGACGCCGCGUGAGGGAUGACGGCCUUCGGGUUGCAAACCUCUUUCAUCAGGGAAGAAGCGAAAGUGACGGUACCUGCAAAGAAUGCCGGCUAACUACGUGCCAUAGCCGCGGCAAUACGCUGGCGCAAGCGUUAUGCGGAAUUAUUGGGCGUACAGAGCUCGUAGGCGUUUGUCGCGUCUGCUGUGAAAGCCCGGGGCUCAACCCCGGGUCUGCAGUGC